RNAcentral lists this unclassified non-coding RNA (300 nucleotides) under uncultured Serendipitaceae. RNAcentral describes it as "sequence contains 5.8S rRNA gene, ITS2". The stretch from base 1 to 71 matches the Rfam family "5.8S ribosomal RNA", at positions 84 to 154 of the family's 154-position model. Lineage: Eukaryota; Fungi; Basidiomycota; Agaricomycetes; Sebacinales; Serendipitaceae. The record is from RNAcentral.
GUGAGUCAUCGAAUCUUUGAACGCACCUUGCACCCUUUGGUAUUCCGAAGGGUACGCCCGUUUGAGUGUCAUUGUACUCUCAACCCCACGACUUUUGUUGUGUGGGUUGGACUUGGAUCCCGUCGCGAUCUGCGACCGAUCCGAAAUGUAUCAGCGUGUGUCCGUCAUGACGAUAAACCGAUUGUUAAAUUUCAUCGGGCUCGCUCUGUCGAGGUUGUCUGGCGAAAGCACAUGCCGAACCCCCAUUACUUUUGACAAUUUGACCUCAAAUCGGGUGGGAUCACCCGCUGAACUUAAGCA